Cannabis sativa is the source of this 1930-nucleotide long non-coding RNA. RefSeq lists it as uncharacterized. The record is from RefSeq and is a predicted model, not a curated record. Lineage: Eukaryota; Viridiplantae; Streptophyta; Magnoliopsida; Rosales; Cannabaceae. The transcript has 7 exons.
UACAAUAACCCAAAAACCUAAAUCUAACUGAACUGUUAUACGGAAAUAACGAAGUCUCGAUUUCUCUUGGACGAAAUCAAAAUAGGGCAAUGGAGAUUGGAGACUCGCUUUUGAAGAUCACUCUAAUGGAGCUGGUGUGCUCUAGUAGAUUGCAUUCCGCUUCUCGCAACAACCUCCGUCGAUACCGAAUGAACUACAGAUUGAUAAAAAAUGAAAGCGAUUCGAAAUUCGAUGGGUCAGUUGAAGUGCGAAUUUCAGCUGCGUGCAUAUCAAAGAUCUCCUGAGGUGAUUCAAUUUCUAUUUCUAUCUAAAAUCUCUAAAAAAGUUUUGUAUAAUGUGUGCGAUUUUUUUCUUUGGCGUGCAUUUUUAUUUUUACUAACUUAAUCAGGAUUGAAGUCUUGGCUUCUCUUGAUAAUGAUGUGUUUGAAUCCAUAAAGCUGGCAAAGGUGCGUUUAGAAGUAAUUUUAAUAGAGAAUUUCAAUGGUUUUGUAAUCUGUUCUAGUUUGUAGAUAAGGUGUUUGUUGUUUUGUCUUGGAAAUUGGGUCCUCACUACUGAUGUCGGAGAUGGAAAGCGAAGUUUAAUUUCUGAGGAUAGAGAUAGUGGUGUUGCUUUUGAGAUGCAUUUAAAGGUAAACCUGCACAACACAUUUUUUAUCUACUUUGUGUAUCCAAGUCUUAAUUUCACUGGCAGUGGUGAAGUUAUUUAUGUAAGCUUUUAUGUCUUUGUUGAAUUCAUAAAAUGUGAUUGUAAUGCAGCUCUUGAAAGAGUUUCUCAAAGAUUUGGCCUCUUUGAAAAGAGCAAAUGAUCUUUGUUGAAUUCAUAAAAUUUUUUUAAAUUAUUCUUGCUUAGUUUUUGAUUUUCCUAGUUGAUGUUUUUGGUUGUAUAAUGUUACGGUACAUGUAUGUAUAAGAUUAAUAAUAAUAGUAAGAACACUUCACAUCUAUCUUUCUCUCUCUCUUGUAAUUUCUUAGUAACAUUAUUAGGUGUUCUAUUAUUAACAACUUUAAGCUCAGAUCAGGCAGAAGCUUACAUAUUCAUUAUGAAGCAAGUGGUGUUGAAAUUGGUUUCAUGAUGAAGUAGAUUACAAAGACAGUGUCUGUCCAUUCAGGGAUUGAUUAAAUUCCAUAGAUUCCAUGAAAUUGACAAUAACAGGGGACAUAAAUCUGUAAGUUGGUAAGCAAGUUGAGGAGCAAUUUGUAAUGUAUUUUGAUCGGCAAUCUUUUCUCUUGUCUUCGAUUUCGAUUUUGAUUUUUCCGUUUGAUUCUUUUGGAUCUAGUUUCGCAGUAGGAGAUUCUUCCUUUGCCAAAGGUAAAUUACUGAAUUAGUUUAACUCUGUUUGCUCUGGAAUCAAUUUCUAUGCUUGUUUGUUCUAUCAUGUUUCUCUCUACAGGUUUCUAUUGGGUUUGUAUUCCUCUAGAAUGUGGACCUAAAUUGAGAUAGUUCAGAUUCUAGAGAUGCCAAAUUCAAAGAAUGUGGAUCUUUGAAACUCAUUGAGGUGUCUGGUUUAGAAUCACUUAUAUACUUGUUUGUUUGUAUCACCACAUCAACACAUUGGAUGGAUUUACUUCAUCUCCAACAGUUUUUGAAGAGCAAGCAACAUGAGUCUCCUCAAGAGACUAUUCAAGCAUUGGAUGUUGUUCUCAGGGAUGCUCCAUCGAAACUGCACUAUUGAGAUGGUAGAUGUGAAUCAUGGUAGUGAAAUUCAUGCUUGUGCUCAUAAAUAGAUUUUUUCAUCAAAAUUCCAAAGAAAGUCUCGAUGUGUUGGAUUUCAAGACUUAGCAAUAUUCUUGUAAUGAGAUUUAUUAUAUUUAUAAGGCCAAAUCAGUUGGUGUGUUUGAGAUUUAGUUUAUUAGAAUGUUGUAUUUCAUAUUUUGGAUAUUUCGAAUCACAAAACAGGUAUUAUGAAAUAAAAUUAAUUAGUCUUUCUAA